RNAcentral lists this ribosomal RNA (253 nucleotides) under uncultured bacterium. RNAcentral describes it as "partial 16S ribosomal RNA". It matches the Rfam family "Bacterial small subunit ribosomal RNA", at positions 524 to 776 of the family's 1533-position model. The record is from RNAcentral.
GACGUAGGGCGCGAGCGUUGUCCGGAUUUAUUGGGCGUAAAGAGCUCGUAGGCGGCUUGUUGCGUCAGCUGUGAAAACCCGCAGCUCAACUGUGGGCUUGCAGCUGAUACGGGCAGGUUUGAGUUCGGUAGGGGAGACUGGAAUUCCUGGUGUAGCGGUGAAAUGCGCAGAUAUCAGGAGGAACACCGGUGGCGAAGGCGGCGAUCUGGGUAGAUACUGACGCUGAGGUGCGAAAGCGUGGGGAGCAAACAGG